This 216-nucleotide small nucleolar RNA is filed under the name Terrapene triunguis (Three-toed box turtle). Its description in RNAcentral is "Terrapene carolina triunguis (Three-toed box turtle) Small nucleolar RNA U3 (ENSTMTG00000015328.1)". It matches the Rfam family "Small nucleolar RNA U3". Rfam says of the family: Small nucleolar RNAs (snoRNAs) are involved in the processing and modification of rRNA in the nucleolus. There are two main classes of snoRNAs: the box C/D class, and the box H/ACA class. Lineage: Eukaryota; Metazoa; Chordata; Testudines; Emydidae. The record is from Rfam by way of RNAcentral.
AAGGCUAUGCUUUCAGGGGGGUUAUUUCUCUAGUUGCUGAGUGGAGAAAAAUAGCUAUAAAAGGUUGGUUUUGUUAACCUUGAUAUGGCCUUGUGGUGUUUCCUUCUGAGCAUAAGAAUGGUAGAAAGCACUGUUGUGUGAUAGUUGUUUUCUACUGUAGAAGGGUGUUUUCUUCUUCCUCAGAAGAGCAGGAGAAAAGAACACAGUCUGACUGGU